Molecule: transfer RNA, 73 nt
Filed under: Plenaster craigi
Lineage: Eukaryota; Metazoa; Porifera; Demospongiae; Axinellida; Stelligeridae
Description: tRNA-Ile
Rfam family: tRNA
About the family: Transfer RNA (tRNA) molecules are approximately 80 nucleotides in length. Their secondary structure includes four short double-helical elements and three loops (D, anti-codon, and T loops).
Source: RNAcentral
CGUCGGGUAGCUCAACUGGAAGAGCCCUGUCUUGAUAAGACAAAAUAUGUGGGUUCAAAUCCCACCCCAGCGA